Ictalurus punctatus (channel catfish) is the source of this 1004-nucleotide long non-coding RNA. NCBI's taxonomy places the organism in Eukaryota, Metazoa, Chordata, Actinopteri, Siluriformes, Ictaluridae. The record is from Ensembl.
GUUAGAUUUACAAUGAUUUUACAAUUGCUCAAAAAAAGGAAAAAAAAAACCAAAACAUUAAUCAUGGGGAACUCAAAGAAGAGGACCGUGAGGGUGCUGUGGUGCUGCACAUUUCCUUCUAUAAGCCUAUUAACACUGAGGUUGAAUUUAUACAGUCGUAUAAUAUUGUUGUUUUGUGUUGGCGUUAAGGCCUGAUGUUAUUGUGUUAUGAAUGUUGUACAAUAAAGUCUUCUUAAAUGAAAGAUUUCUUAGUGCAUGAUUUUAUGUGCUCUGCUGCCACAAAUGUUGCUAAUUAAUGUUCCUAAUAAACUGGACGGGGAGUGCGUAUUAUUAGUAAUUACAGCUGAAUUAUGUAAUAUAGAAUGAAGAAAAAAAAACCCAGCAAAGUUUAAUUCACUGUAUAGUAAUGCAUAUCAUGACAAACACCUGGAGGCACGCUGUCUUUAAACUGUUGUAGAGCGCCACCUAAUGAUCACUUCCAUUACACUACACUUACUAAGCCACAGGUUCCCAGUCCUAGCCCUGGAGUAUCCUCUGUCCAUCAUGCUCCACAUGGACAGCCUGAGAUUACUGUGAAUGGUACCAUGUAGAAACCAUAAAGAUGGCCGUGGAUGUUCUUCCUUCCUGCAAUUGCUAAGAUCAUACUCAUAAGUUGCUCAGAUGCACAUGAGUUCCUGUUAACACACUUAGCACUUUUUGACGCCACAGCACACAGUUUAUAAGAGGAAAUGAUUUAGAGUCGUACUAUCCGGUGUCACCCAGAUGAGGACGGGUUCCCUUUGGAGUCUGGUUCUUCUCAAGGUUCCUUCCUCACCACAAAAUACAAAUACCAACACCAUAAAUACAAAUCCCCAAAAUUUCAAAUCACAAACAAAUCACAGAUUUGAUGUAAAUUAGCUUAAAGGUGAAUCACCCCAGAUUCCCAGGGGAAAGCAGUAGACACUUUCAGCGUGGUUGAACAUUUUAACCCUCGCUCCAGGACCGCGAUGUGAAGUGAAGAGCUG